AAAUAUUAUACAUUUUCUGGCCAAUUAUAAAUUCAAAUCUUUAACUUGAAUCAGCGGCUUAAUUCAAUUAUCGCGACAAGCCUAACCUAAUCGAAAGAGUACGCUCACGUUUCGUUCGAAGGAAUCUAACCUAGAAACGUCGACUGUUUUUUUUUCAGUGUCGAGCGAUUAUUUUAAUUUUUCAAGACUUUGGUUUUCUUGGGAUGAAGGAACGAGAGAGAGCCUAAUGAUUGUAUUUUCAUUAAAAUCCAAAGUUGAAUUGAAAUAGUUUAUCAGUCCUUAACAAUGGGGGAAAAAGGGAGGUUAUAAUUGGAAGUCAAGAGCUUAUUCCAGUCAAUUCUUCAUAAUUUUAACGAUUUAUUUGUCGCAGGUUAGCAAGAGGUGCAUACGGUUGUGCGUAAAUUACGCAAAGCGUUUCCGUUGAAGAGAAUUAAAAAACAGCCCCAAGUUAAAGUGGUAAACUCCGAGAAAAGUGGAACCUCAGAAGCACCGGAUAAAGAACAGGACGAAAAAGACGCCGAGGAAGCGUUGCGCCGUAAUAAACAGAGGCAAAAGAAGCAGAUCAUACUUCCAACUAUUAAUCUCGACGAUUAUUCAAUAAAUCCUACCGAUGACACGCACGAAGAUUUGAUCAACGCGCAGUACGACGACGGCGACAACAGCUUGGAGGAUGAAGAUGUGAUUGAUUUCAUGAGACUGACGAACGCGCAGCCAUUAUGGGUCUUACCUCUUUAUUCCCUUCUACCCGGACACAAACAAGCCAGAAUAAAUAUACAGUAUAAUAAAUUAAUUCUUAUAGAUUAACAUGGAAAACGAAGGAUUUCAAAAUGUUCAAAUGCACGAUUGUCUAAAACGUAUCGUUAUCAACUUAUUAUAAACAAGAAUUAAAUAACUUGGAAAUGAGACUAA
Long non-coding RNA from Wasmannia auropunctata (little fire ant), 909 nucleotides. RefSeq lists it as uncharacterized. NCBI's taxonomy places the organism in Eukaryota, Metazoa, Arthropoda, Insecta, Hymenoptera, Formicidae. The transcript is spliced from 3 exons. The record is from RefSeq and is a predicted model, not a curated record.